AAAUGAAUUACAGGGAAAGAUCUCCUUUGGCAUGGAUCUAUUACUUAAUUCUUGCAUAUGCAUAUGUGUUUUAUGGUGAUCUCUAUGCCAAAGGAGAUUUGCCCGGUAAUUGUUUU
Molecule: microRNA precursor, 116 nt
Organism: Eutrema salsugineum
Lineage: Eukaryota; Viridiplantae; Streptophyta; Magnoliopsida; Brassicales; Brassicaceae
Rfam family: mir-399 microRNA precursor family
About the family: mir-399 was identified in both Arabidopsis thaliana and Oryza sativa computationally and was later experimentally verified. mir-399 is thought to target mRNAs coding for a phosphatase transporter.
Source: Rfam